This 451-nucleotide ribosomal RNA is filed under the name uncultured bacterium. Its description in RNAcentral is "bacterial SSU rRNA". It matches the Rfam family "Bacterial small subunit ribosomal RNA", at positions 340 to 786 of the family's 1533-position model. The record is from RNAcentral.
UACGGAAGGCAGCAGUGGGGAAUAUUGCACAAUGGGCGCAAGCCUGAUGCAGCCAUGCCGCGUGUAUGAAGAAGGCCUUCGGGUUGUAAAGUACUUUCAGUCGUGAGGAAGGUGUUAAGGUUAAUAACCUUAGCAAUUGACGUUAGCGACAGAAGAAGCACCGGCUAACUCCGUGCCAGCAGCCGCGGUAAUACGGAGGGUGCGAGCGUUAAUCGGAAUUACUGGGCGUAAAGGGCACGCAGGCGGUUAAUAAGUUGGAUGUGAAUCCCCGGGCUUAACCUGGGAAUGGCAUUCAAGACUGGUUAGCUAGAGUCUUGUAGAGAGGGGUAGAAUUCCAUGUGUAGCGGUGAAAUGCGUAGAGAUGUGGAGGAAUACCGGUGGCGAAGGCGGCCCCUGGACAAAGGCUGACGCUCAUGUGCGAAAGCGUGGGGAGCAAACAGGAUUAGAUACC